This 430-nucleotide unclassified non-coding RNA is filed under the name Hevea brasiliensis (rubber tree). The record is from RNAcentral. Lineage: Eukaryota; Viridiplantae; Streptophyta; Magnoliopsida; Malpighiales; Euphorbiaceae.
AAAGAUAAGUUGCAAAAUUAAUUAUGGACUGUUAACACUAUGUUUGGAAAUGUACAAAAUAUGGGAGGAAAGAAAAUGAGUAGGGAAAAUAAAAGAAUUUCCCACCUUUGUGUUGUUUGGAAAGGAAGGAAAUAAAAAGGGAAGGAAAAUUAGGGGGUAGAAUAUGAUGUGGGGCCCACAUUUCACUCGCUCCAACUUGAAGAGUGAGAGGAAAAUCCACUUAAUUACAUUUUUAUCCCUCAAAUUUUUAUUUUAUUUGCACAAAAAAAGAUUAAAUACAAAUUAUAUUAUUCAUAGAGCCAUUUUUCCUUCCACUUUUUCUUCCUUACUGUCCAAACAAGGGCUAACCAAAGUUGUUCUUUUCUCCUUACUUUAUCACCUUAAUUUCAUCUAUUUAUUUUCUUUCCGGUGGCUUCUAUAGUUAUUUUAU